UACGUAGGGGGCUAGCGUUGUCCGGAAUCAUUGGGCGUAAAGAGCGUGUAGGCGGCCCGGUAAGUCCGCUGUGAAAGUCGGGGGCUCAACCCUCGAAUGCCGGUGGAUACUGUCGGGCUAGAGUGCAGAAGAGGCGAGUGGAAUUCCUGGUGUAGCGGUGAAAUGCGCAGAUAUCAGGAGGAACACCGAUUGCGAAGGCAGCUCGCUGGGACGUAACUGACGCUGAGACGCGAAAGCGUGGGGAGCAAACAGG
This 253-nucleotide ribosomal RNA is filed under the name uncultured bacterium. RNAcentral's name for it is "partial 16S ribosomal RNA". It matches the Rfam family "Bacterial small subunit ribosomal RNA", at positions 524 to 776 of the family's 1533-position model. The record is from RNAcentral.